AUAUCAAUAAGCGGAGGAAAAGAAACCAACAGGGAUUUGCCUUAGUAACGGCGAGUGAAAGCGGCAAUAGCUCAAAUUUGAAAUCUGGCCUCAUGGUCCGAGUUGUAAUUUGUAGAGGAUGCUUUCGAGCAUGGUCUGGUCUAAGUUCCUUGGAACAGGACGUCAUAGAGGGUGAGAAUCCCGUAUGUGGACUAGGUGCCUAAGCUCAUGUGAAGCUCCUUCGACGAGUCGAGUUGUUUUGGGAAUGCAGCUCAAAAUGGGUGGUAAAUUUCAUCUAAAGCUAAAUACUGGCCAGAGACCGAUAGCGCACAAGUAGAGUGAUCGAAAGAUGAAAAAGCACUUUGGAAAGAGAGUUAAACAGUAC
Molecule: ribosomal RNA, 364 nt
Filed under: uncultured fungus
Lineage: Eukaryota; Fungi
Description: eukaryotic LSU rRNA
Rfam family: Eukaryotic large subunit ribosomal RNA
Source: RNAcentral